AGUGAACGCUGGCGGCAGGCCUAACACAUGCAAGUCGAACGGCAGCACAGAGGAGCUUGCUCCUUGGGUGGCGAGUGGCGGACGGGUGAGGAAUACAUCGGAAUCUGCCUUAUCGUGGGGGAUAACGUAGGGAAACUUACGCUAAUACCGCAUACGACCUACGGGUGAAAGCGGAGGACCGCAAGGCUUCGCGCGAUAAGAUGAGCCGAUGUCGGAUUAGCUAGUUGGCGGGGUAAUGGCCCACCAAGGCGACGAUCCGUAGCUGGUCUGAGAGGAUGAUCAGCCACACUGGAACUGAGACACGGUCCAGACUCCUACGGGUGGCUG
RNAcentral lists this ribosomal RNA (327 nucleotides) under uncultured Pseudomonadota bacterium. RNAcentral describes it as "bacterial SSU rRNA". It matches the Rfam family "Bacterial small subunit ribosomal RNA", at positions 29 to 351 of the family's 1533-position model. The record is from RNAcentral. Lineage: Bacteria; Pseudomonadati; Pseudomonadota.